GGCCUUGUAUUCAUUUUGUGAUUACAGAAUGCAAUUCUGUAGGGGUAGGUAUUUAGCUAUCAAGGCCU
Molecule: transfer RNA, 68 nt
Filed under: Schedorhinotermes longirostris
Lineage: Eukaryota; Metazoa; Arthropoda; Insecta; Blattodea; Rhinotermitidae
Also listed under: 1 other name
Description: tRNA-Cys
Source: RNAcentral